AAGGAUUUAAGUUAAAAAAACUAAAGGUCUUCAAAACCUUCAUUGGUCUAAUGCCAAUCCUUGAUGCUCCAUG
RNAcentral lists this transfer RNA (73 nucleotides) under Phascolosoma pacificum. Its description in RNAcentral is "tRNA-Trp". The record is from RNAcentral. Lineage: Eukaryota; Metazoa; Annelida; Sipuncula; Phascolosomatiformes; Phascolosomatidae.